Molecule: ribosomal RNA, 326 nt
Filed under: Foraminifera sp.
Lineage: Eukaryota; Foraminifera
Description: partial small subunit ribosomal RNA
Source: RNAcentral
AGUUCGUGGAAUAAUCUGUCUGCUUAAUUGCGUUUUUUCAAUUGUGCCUUGAUGCUCAAUAUACCUUCUGAGUAUGUCUGAGUUGGAUCGCUCUUUCUGUGGUCCCUCUCGGCAUGCCAGUUUGGUGAGUUGUCGGGGCCUUCUGAAACGAACGAGACCCCAACCCUUCUUUUUCGGUGUCAUACAACGAAUUGUUGUUACUUUUUUGUCUUUCGGUUGUCGAGGUAACUUUCGGGUUAUUCUCGCGUCGGCUGGCAUCUUACGACGCUGUUAACAGAAGGGGACUGUUACAUCCAAAUGUAAAGGAAGGUUGGGGCAAUAACAGG